GGCAACUUGGCCGAGCGGUCUAAGGCGCCAGACUCAAGCGAAAGCUUCGUUCUUCUAAAGAAUGAAUUCUGGUCUCGAAAGAGGCGUGAGUUCGAAUCUCACAGUUGUCA
RNAcentral lists this transfer RNA (110 nucleotides) under Colletotrichum chlorophyti. It matches the Rfam family "tRNA". Rfam says of the family: Transfer RNA (tRNA) molecules are approximately 80 nucleotides in length. Lineage: Eukaryota; Fungi; Ascomycota; Sordariomycetes; Glomerellales; Glomerellaceae. The record is from Rfam by way of RNAcentral.